This 78-nucleotide small nucleolar RNA is filed under the name Myotis lucifugus (little brown bat). RNAcentral's name for it is "Small nucleolar RNA R38 (ENSMLUG00000019675.2)". The record is from RNAcentral. Lineage: Eukaryota; Metazoa; Chordata; Mammalia; Chiroptera; Vespertilionidae.
CCGAGUCCGUGAUGAUGAGUUAUCCCUGUCUGAAGGCAAAGAGGCCUUCAGUGUGGAAUUUGGAUGUCUGAGACUCCG